UACGUAGGUGACAAGCGUUGUCCGGAUUUACUGGGCGUAAAGAGCGCGCAGGCGGUCGUUCAAGUCGAGUGUGAAAGCCCCCCGGCUCAACUGGGGAGGGUCACUCGAUACUGAUCGACUCGAAGGCAGGAGAGGGAAGUGGAAUUCCCGGUGUAGUGGUGAAAUGCGUAGAUAUCGGGAGGAACACCAGUGGCGAAGGCGGACUUCCUGGUCCUGUUCUUGACGCUGAGGCGCGAAAGCUAGGGGAGCAAACGGG
This 256-nucleotide ribosomal RNA is filed under the name uncultured bacterium. Its description in RNAcentral is "partial 16S ribosomal RNA". It matches the Rfam family "Bacterial small subunit ribosomal RNA", at positions 524 to 776 of the family's 1533-position model. The record is from RNAcentral.